RNAcentral lists this long non-coding RNA (1432 nucleotides) under Zea mays. Its description in RNAcentral is "long non-coding RNA (ZMAY_LNC000103)". The record is from RNAcentral. Lineage: Eukaryota; Viridiplantae; Streptophyta; Magnoliopsida; Poales; Poaceae.
ACAUGAUUAGAAUAACUGAAUUUAAGCUGUGCUAUCCUGGAGCUCGUAAUAAGUUUGUGGUUCACGCCUGCAGAUGCUGUGCUGUUCUAGGGUUACAAUCAUGCAAACAUGAACCACACACUAAUUAUGAAUUCCAGAACAACAGGCUAAUGACGAACUCAAACAGACGACAGAACAUAACUGCAGCCUUUCAUCUCUGGUUUUCAGAAGCGUCAGGGAGGGAAUGCAGGCCAGCCAGGCUUUUCUUUUUGCUUACUUACUGGGUUACAAUAGCUACCGCUACCAUCUUCUUGCCUUCCCUUCUUCUCUCGUAAAAGUUUCUGCUUCUGUCCAGCACAUCAUUGUCUAUGCUGGCGGUGGAUGCAUUACCACCAAGAUGUGUCAUCGUGCUGAAAAUCACAGGAAAAAUAGCAGGGAAAUAAGGAGAUUGUAACGAUAAUCUACCACCAAAAAACAUUGCAGGAAAAAUAGCAGGGAAAUAACUUAUUAGCAUCACCGUGUGCUCACUAUUUUUAACUCACCAUCACCCACUCCCCUUGCAUGUAACACACAAGAACAGCGUAUCUUUCCCCACAGAAAGAACAUACCCUCGACUGCUACCAUGACGCGCUCAAUAAUCCCUGUCCAGAAGACUGCUUCAAGGUCCAUGAUGGAAGUCACCGCUCUCGGGACCUCUCCUGAUCUCAAGAAAUGGAAGACUUCGACACUGACUACGACUUAUACAAGGGUAUCACUAGCUUAGCCUGUGAGGCCACAUGGCGUGGCGUACAUAAGUAAGCACCACGACCCCUAAAUGGAAGACUUCGACACUGACUACGACUUAUACAAGGGUAUCACUAGCUUAGCCUGUGAGGCCACAUGGCGUGGCGUACAUAAGUAAGCACCACAACCCCUCGCGCCCUAGGAUGCAUGCCUGUCUAACCCCGGGGCUCCUUACACAACGAGGCACCCAACAAAUUAAGUCUUUAGGGCCACUCGUGCCCUGAGACACUCGACAUUAUAUGCUCCCGGUGCACCAGGGCACCUAGCAGUAUGAACCCCCAUGGCCCCUUACGCCCUAGGGUGGCCAAUGGUAUAAAGCCCCGAGGCCCCUCGUACCCCAGGGCGUAUAAUGAUAUAAACCCUCGAGGCCCCUCGUGCCCUGAGACAUCUAGAAGUAUGGGCUCUCGGGGCAUCUAGAAGUAUGGGCUCCCUCACGAGGGGGCUCGAGGGCUCAUACUGCUAGACGCCCCAUAACAUGAGGGGCCCCAGGGGCUCAUACCGCUAGUUGUCUUGUGUCGUGAGGGAACACAAGGGCUUAUACAACUAGUUGCCCCGAAGCGCGAGGGGCCUCGGAGGCUUAUACAUUAGAUGCCCCAGGUCAUGAGGUGUCGUAAAGGCUCAUAUUGCUAGAUGCCCCGGACACAGGGGGCAUCGAGAGCAUAUAUUGUCG